UGUGGAUAAGAUCACCGGGCAGCCAUGGAAGAACUUACGGCUUUUGUAUCCAAAUCUUUUGACCAGAAAAGCAAAGAGAGCAGCAGCGGCAGUGGCAGCAGCAACAAGAAGGAGACGAUCACGUACAGGGAAGUUUUGGAGAGUGGGUUGGCUCGCUCUAGGGAGCUUGGAAACUCUGACUCUAACCUGCAGGACAUGACUGAGAGCAGCAACCAUUGCCCGGUGCAUCUUUUCAAAGACCACGUAGAAAGCGACAAGGACAAACUGAAGGAGUUCAGCACGGGCAGAACGGCGGAAGGUAAGAGCGGGGCUGGGCGCCCUCUGCCCCAUGCUUGUUGCCGGCAGCCCCAGUCCCCUGUCCCCGGUCUCCGCAACGGGGGAGAGCCGAUCACGGCGGCCCCG
Acanthisitta chloris (rifleman) is the source of this 402-nucleotide RNA transcript. It is a transcript of the gene named short stature homeobox protein pseudogene, with no coding region annotated. Lineage: Eukaryota; Metazoa; Chordata; Aves; Passeriformes; Acanthisittidae. The transcript has a single exon. The record is from RefSeq and is a predicted model, not a curated record.